GUCUGUUUUUGUCUUAAUUGUAUUGUGCUUAGACUAUGGUUAUUUUUUAUGACUAGAUUUAAAUAUAGUGACAGAUUGUACUUUAAGUACUAGUACUGCUUCAGUCGACACUAGGGACCAUCUUGACCCUCUUUUACGGUAUUAUUGAUUCUUUUAUUGUUGAAGACCCUCCAGCAACUUUGACCAUUGUCUUUUAGAAUUUUUUCUAUGCAUUGACUCUGUGCGAUUAGGUUUCGUGCACAUUUACUCCAUAUUCCUUUAUUUUCUGUUAGAGGGUCUGAACAUGACUUAAUGCAAGUUAAACCCUUCAAUGGAAAAGGUCAUAUGGCAAUACAUUAUUGUUUUUUUUUCCAAAUUAUUUGAAUCCGGGAAAUUGGUGACCUUACUUUAAUUUAAACCAUGUCAGCUUUCUAGUUUUAUCUACCCCACAAAAAAAGCCAGUUUUGUAUUCUUUGAUAUCAAGUUCAAUUCUCCAUGCAGAAACGACCAUUUUUUUCUGUGUCUUGUAGCAUCGUAUAUUCUUAAAAUAUUUUCUCGCACAAUAUCUGGACAUCGGUGGGCAUGCAACAUUGCAAAACCACACGUUUACAAAUGAAAAUCAUCACUCAGACUAUAGUCAUAAAGUAGGACAAUAAAUGAACAAAAGACAAACCCGGGACAGUCACAUAGAAAUACAAAC
This 679-nucleotide long non-coding RNA is filed under the name Mytilus galloprovincialis (Mediterranean mussel). The record is from RNAcentral. Lineage: Eukaryota; Metazoa; Mollusca; Bivalvia; Mytilida; Mytilidae.